This 177-nucleotide ribosomal RNA is filed under the name uncultured bacterium. RNAcentral's name for it is "partial 16S ribosomal RNA". It matches the Rfam family "Bacterial small subunit ribosomal RNA", at positions 383 to 557 of the family's 1533-position model. The record is from RNAcentral.
CUGAACCAGCCAAGUAGCGUGAAGGAUGACUGCCCUAUGGGUUGUAAACUUCUUUUAUAUGGGAAUAAAGUUGGCCACGUGUGGAUUUUUGUAUGUACCAUAUGAAUAAGGAUCGGCUAACUCCGUGCCAGCAGCCGCGGUAAUACGGAGGAUCCGAGCGUUAUCCGGAUUUAUUGG